Natrialba magadii ATCC 43099 is the source of this 100-nucleotide regulatory RNA element. It matches the Rfam family "L4-Archaeoglobi ribosomal protein leades". The record is from Rfam. Lineage: Archaea; Methanobacteriati; Methanobacteriota; Halobacteria; Halobacteriales; Natrialbaceae.
CUGAUCAACGCGUGCGGGUCAAUUGCGGCUUGCAACACCCGAUCUCCCUCAAUGUACCGCCGAAAAUGGCGGUCUCCGUGGGAGAGCGCGUGACUAUCAG